Molecule: unclassified non-coding RNA, 229 nt
Filed under: Hevea brasiliensis (rubber tree)
Lineage: Eukaryota; Viridiplantae; Streptophyta; Magnoliopsida; Malpighiales; Euphorbiaceae
Source: RNAcentral
GACGAACUUGGCCUCUAUAACCUUCUUUGACAUCGAGGAGGCCCAUUUUGAUGAUGGCUUGUUGAAAGUCCAUGAAGAAUAAAGCUUGGUUCAUGGCGUAGGCAGUGACAAUGCCCCUCGUACGAGGGCUAGCAAACAAUGUCUGGUCGGAAAACAGGACUCCAGCGCCUCUCGAUAGCGCGUUGUAAUACACGUUGUCAAAGCUGUCGGGUGUGGCGUCGAAUGUUUG